GGGUUGUGAGGUUAAGCGACUAAGCGUACACGGUGGAUGCCCUGGCAGUCAGAGGCGAUGAAGGACGUGCUAAUCUGCGAUAAGCGUCGGUAAGGUGAUAUGAACCGUUAUAACCGGCGAUUUCCGAAUGGGGAAACCCAGUGUGAUUCGUCACACUAUCAUUAACUGAAUCCAUAGGUUAAUGAGGCGAACCGGGGGAACUGAAACAUCUAAGUACCCCGAGGAAAAGAAAUCAACCGAGAUUCCCCCAGUAGCGGCGAGCGAACGGGGAGCAGCCCAGAGCCUGAAUCAGUGUGUGUGUUAGUGGAAGCGUCUGGAAAGGCGUGCGAUACAGGGUGACAGCCCCGUACACAAAAAUGCACAUACUGUGAGCUCGAUGAGUAGGGCGGGACACGUGGUAUCCUGUCUGAAUAUGGGGGGACCAUCCUCCAAGGCUAAAUACUCCUGACUGACCGAUAGUGAACCAGUACCGUGAGGGAAAGGCGAAAAGAACCCCGGCGAGGGGAGUGAAAAAGAACCUGAAACCGUGUACGUACAAGCAGUGGGAGCACGCUUAGGCGUGUGACUGCGUACCUUUUGUAUAAUGGGUCAGCGACUUAUAUUCUGUAGCAAGGUUAACCGAAUAGGGGAGCCGAAGGGAAACCGAGUCUUAACUGGGCGUUAAGUUGCAGGGUAUAGACCCGAAACCCGGUGAUCUAGCCAUGGGCAGGUUGAAGGUUGGGUAACACUAACUGGAGGACCGAACCGACUAAUGUUGAAAAAUUAGCGGAUGACUUGUGGCUGGGGGUGAAAGGCCAAUCAAACCGGGAGAUAGCUGGUUCUCCCCGAAAGCUAUUUAGGUAGCGCCUCGUGAAUUCAUCUCCGGGGGUAGAGCACUGUUUCGGCAAGGGGGUCAUCCCGACUUACCAACCCGAUGCAAACUGCGAAUACCGGAGAAUGUUAUCACGGGAGACACACGGCGGGUGCUAACGUCCGUCGUGAAGAGGGAAACAACCCAGACCGCCAGCUAAGGUCCCAAAGUCAUGGUUAAGUGGGAAACGAUGUGGGAAGGCCCAGACAGCCAGGAUGUUGGCUUAGAAGCAGCCAUCAUUUAAAGAAAGCGUAAUAGCUCACUGGUCGAGUCGGCCUGCGCGGAAGAUGUAACGGGGCUAAACCAUGCACCGAAGCUGCGGCAGCGACGCUUAUGCGUUGUUGGGUAGGGGAGCGUUCUGUAAGCCUGUGAAGGUGUGCUGUGAGGUAUGCUGGAGGUAUCAGAAGUGCGAAUGCUGACAUAAGUAACGAUAAAGCGGGUGAAAAGCCCGCUCGCCGGAAGACCAAGGGUUCCUGUCCAACGUUAAUCGGGGCAGGGUGAGUCGACCCCUAAGGCGAGGCCGAAAGGCGUAGUCGAUGGGAAACAGGUUAAUAUUCCUGUACUUGGUGUUACUGCGAAGGGGGACGGAGAAGGCUAUGUUGGCCGGGCGACGGUUGUCCCGGUUUAAGCGUGUAGGCUGGUUUUCCAGGCAAAUCCGGAAAAUCAAGGCCGAGGCGUGAUGACGAGGCACUACGGUGCUGAAGCAACAAAUGCCCUGCUUCCAGGAAAAGCCUCUAAGCAUCAGGUAACAUCAAAUCGUACCCCAAACCGACACAGGUGGUCAGGUAGAGAAUACCAAGGCGCUUGAGAGAACUCGGGUGAAGGAACUAGGCAAAAUGGUGCCGUAACUUCGGGAGAAGGCACGCUGAUACGUAGGUGAAGCGACUUGCUCGUGGAGCUGAAAUCAGUCGAAGAUACCAGCUGGCUGCAACUGUUUAUUAAAAACACAGCACUGUGCAAACACGAAAGUGGACGUAUACGGUGUGACGCCUGCCCGGUGCCGGAAGGUUAAUUGAUGGGGUUAGCGCAAGCGAAGCUCUUGAUCGAAGCCCCGGUAAACGGCGGCCGUAACUAUAACGGUCCUAAGGUAGCGAAAUUCCUUGUCGGGUAAGUUCCGACCUGCACGAAUGGCGUAAUGAUGGCCAGGCUGUCUCCACCCGAGACUCAGUGAAAUUGAACUCGCUGUGAAGAUGCAGUGUACCCGCGGCAAGACGGAAAGACCCCGUGAACCUUUACUAUAGCUUGACACUGAACAUUGAGCCUUGAUGUGUAGGAUAGGUGGGAGGCUUUGAAGUGUGGACGCCAGUCUGCAUGGAGCCGACCUUGAAAUACCACCCUUUAAUGUUUGAUGUUCUAACGUGGACCCGUGAUCCGGGUUGCGGACAGUGUCUGGUGGGUAGUUUGACUGGGGCGGUCUCCUCCUAAAGAGUAACGGAGGAGCACGAAGGUUGGCUAAUCCUGGUCGGACAUCAGGAGGUUAGUGCAAUGGCAUAAGCCAGCUUGACUGCGAGCGUGACGGCGCGAGCAGGUGCGAAAGCAGGUCAUAGUGAUCCGGUGGUUCUGAAUGGAAGGGCCAUCGCUCAACGGAUAAAAGGUACUCCGGGGAUAACAGGCUGAUACCGCCCAAGAGUUCAUAUCGACGGCGGUGUUUGGCACCUCGAUGUCGGCUCAUCACAUCCUGGGGCUGAAGUAGGUCCCAAGGGUAUGGCUGUUCGCCAUUUAAAGUGGUACGCGAGCUGGGUUUAGAACGUCGUGAGACAGUUCGGUCCCUAUCUGCCGUGGGCGCUGGAGAACUGAGGGGGGCUGCUCCUAGUACGAGAGGACCGGAGUGGACGCAUCACUGGUGUUCGGGUUGUCAUGCCAAUGGCACUGCCCGGUAGCUAAAUGCGGAAGAGAUAAGUGCUGAAAGCAUCUAAGCACGAAACUUGCCCCGAGAUGAGUUCUCCCUGACCCUUUAAGGGUCCUGAAGGAACGUUGAAGACGACGACGUUGAUAGGCCGGGUGUGUAAGCGCAGCGAUGCGUUGAGCUAACCGGUACUAAUGAACCGUGAGGCUUAACCUUACAACGCCGAAG
This 2924-nucleotide ribosomal RNA is filed under the name Shigella boydii. Its description in RNAcentral is "23S ribosomal RNA". It matches the Rfam family "Bacterial large subunit ribosomal RNA". Lineage: Bacteria; Pseudomonadati; Pseudomonadota; Gammaproteobacteria; Enterobacterales; Enterobacteriaceae. RNAcentral also lists the same sequence under 2 other names. The record is from RNAcentral.